CAGCUGUGUUUCCUAGAUGAUGAAAUUAUUGCAAGCAUUUGAGUUGAGAAGUGCAAAGCGGAUCCGCGAUCAAUUAUUAGAUAAUAAAAGAAUAUCAAGCAGUUAGUAUAAUGCAUAGUUCUACAGUGGAAAGCGACAAUGUGCCUAAAGAAGAGGAAGUGGAAAUUAUGACAGAAAAUCUACGUUAUGAAAAUAAUGACAAGGGAAUGCGGCCCACAAAAAGAAGACAAUUUCUUUGGUGUUAUGAUCGAUUCAAUAACUGAGGACCAGUUGAGAAAGGCCUUGCAGCUCCAAAAAAUAAACGAUAUUUUAAAACUCAAGUUGCC
Drosophila nasuta is the source of this 326-nucleotide long non-coding RNA. RefSeq lists it as uncharacterized. The transcript is spliced from 3 exons. The record is from RefSeq and is a predicted model, not a curated record. Lineage: Eukaryota; Metazoa; Arthropoda; Insecta; Diptera; Drosophilidae.